RNAcentral lists this long non-coding RNA (689 nucleotides) under Glycine max (soybean). RNAcentral describes it as "long non-coding RNA (GMAX_LNC004077)". The record is from RNAcentral. Lineage: Eukaryota; Viridiplantae; Streptophyta; Magnoliopsida; Fabales; Fabaceae.
GCAAUUGCCUCAUAGGUAUCAACUUUAUUUUGUUAUGAUAUGGAUCAUGGUAGAGUGGAUUUCCAUGUUGGAAUAGACAUUUUAAAUCGUUCGAUUUGUGGGUCAUCACAACUCAUAUUAAUUCUUUGGUGGAAUUAGAAUAAUUGUGCUUUGUGUGUGCUACAGGUAAGUUACUAAAUAUAAGGGCAACCUGCCAAAGAGGGGAUACUUAUGAGUUUAAUUUUAGCUAUAAAGAGGGUUCAUAAAUGGUAGUAGUUGGUUCAGAUUUGCGCUAUUGGAGACACGGGGAUGAGGGGCCUUACAACUUAGAUCAAAAGUUUGUAAUGGAAAUGCUUGCUAUGUUGGCUUCAUGUCUGGUGUGCUUCAUUACUAGGAUGGAUAUAUUUCCCCCUUAUCAACUUCCCAGGUUAUAUGUUUGUAUAAUUUUAUAUAGAGGACAAUUCCGUUGAUGUAAUUAGUUCCUAUUUUAUGUUCAAGGUACAAACCGUUCUGAAAGUUAAUAACUUUAGGUUUGCCCAUAUUGGUGAAGGUGGUAAAAUUGAAGGAUCUAUGGUACUGGAUUAAAUUCCACAUGUUUCUUCACUUGUAUUAAUGUGUGAAUCAAGCCAAAAAAGUAAUUUUAAGUACUAUUAUUUAGGAUUGGAAUAUUGUGAGAUAUUUUUUUGUCAUCAUAAUCUUGAAAUUUUGUU